AUGGCUCAGGACGAACGCUGGCGGCGUGCCUAAUACAUGCAAGUCGAGCGGACCGAACGGAAGCUUGCUUCUGUUCGGUUAGCGGCGGACGGGUGAGUAACACGUGGGUAACCUGCCCGUAAGACCGGGAUAACUCCGGGAAACCGGGGCUAAUACCGGAUAACACCGAAGACCGCAUGGUCUUUGGUUGAAAGGUGGCUUUUGCUACCACUUACGGAUGGGCCCGCGGCGCAUUAGCUAGUUGGUGAGGUAACGGCUCACCAAGGCGACGAUGCGUAGCCGGCCUGAGAGGGUGACCGGCCACACUGGGACUGAGACACGGCCCAGACUCCUACGGGAGGCAGCAGUAGGGAAUCUUCCGCAAUGGACGAAAGUCUGACGGAGCGACGCCGCGUGAGCGAAGAAGGUCUUCGGAUCGUAAAGCUCUGUUGUUAGGGAAGAAGAAGUACCGUUCGAAUAGGGCGGUA
Molecule: ribosomal RNA, 467 nt
Filed under: Parageobacillus toebii
Lineage: Bacteria; Bacillati; Bacillota; Bacilli; Caryophanales; Anoxybacillaceae
Description: bacterial SSU rRNA
Rfam family: Bacterial small subunit ribosomal RNA
Source: RNAcentral